RNAcentral lists this ribosomal RNA (497 nucleotides) under uncultured bacterium. RNAcentral's name for it is "partial 16S ribosomal RNA". It matches the Rfam family "Bacterial small subunit ribosomal RNA", at positions 29 to 507 of the family's 1533-position model. The record is from RNAcentral.
AAUGAACGCUGGGGGCGUGCCUAAUACAUGCAAGUCGAGAGAAAAGCCCAGGAGCUUGCGCCUCUGCCGUUAGCGGCGGAGGGGUGAGUACCACGUGGACCACCUACCUAUAAGACUGGGAUAACAUCGGGAAAGGGGAGCUACUGGCGGAUAAUAUAUUGAACCGCAUGGUUCAAUGGUGAAAGACGCUGUUGCGGUCCCUUAUGGCGGGAUCCGGGCCGCGUUAGCUAGUGGGUAAGGUAACGGCUUACAAAGGUAGCGAUGCGUAGCCGACCGGAGGGGGUGAUCGGCCACACUGGACGUGGGACACGGACAAGAGGACUACGAUAGGCAGCAGUAGGGAAUCGGCCGCAGUGGGCGAAAGCUUGACGCAGCAACGCCGCGUGAGAUAUGAAGGUCUUCGGAUCGUAAAACCCGGUUAUGGGUGAUGAACAACUGUCUAAGUAACUAUGCACUUCGUGACGGUACCGGGUCAGAAAGCCACGGCUAACUACGUG